This 1194-nucleotide ribosomal RNA is filed under the name human gut metagenome. RNAcentral's name for it is "bacterial LSU rRNA". It matches the Rfam family "Bacterial large subunit ribosomal RNA", at positions 1351 to 2567 of the family's 2925-position model. The record is from RNAcentral.
UUUCCUGAUCAACGCUAAUCGGAUCAGGGUUAGUCGGGUCCUAAGGGUAAGCCGAACGGCGAUCUCGAUGGAUAAUCGGUUAAUAUUCCGAUACUAACAUAUACCUCGAUGGAGAGACGAAGGAACGUAAGUGCCGCCACCUGACGGAAUAGGUGGUUAAAGGGCGUAGGUAUAGGGGCAGAUUAAGAGUUAGUCCUUGCUGAAACCUGACAGUACAGAGAGCCUACGGGCAAUUUGAUAGAGCACCCAAGUCGACUUCCGAGAAAAUCUUCUAAGUUAUAGUAUAUGUUACCCGUACCGUAAACCGACACAGGUGGUCGAGGAGAGUAUCCUAAGGUGCUCGAGUGAAUCACGGUUAAGGAACUAGGCAAAUUAACCCCGUAACUUCGGGAAAAGGGGUCCCUAUGAAAGUAGGGCGCAGCGAAGAGGUCCAGGCGACUGUUUAUCAAAAACACAGGGCUCUGCAAAUUCGAAAGAAGACGUAUAGGGCCUGACACCUGCCCGGUGCUGGAAGGUUAAGAGGGGAUGUCAUCGCAAGAGAAGCAUUGAAUCGAAGCCCCAGUAAACGGCGGCCGUAACUAUAACGGUCCUAAGGUAGCGAAAUUCCUUGUCGGGUAAGUUCCGACCUGCACGAAUGGUGUAACGAUCUGGACACUGUCUCAACCGUGAGCUCGGUGAAAUUGUAGUCCCGGUGAUGAUGCCGGGUACCCGCAACGGGACGAAAAGACCCCGUGAACCUUUACUAUAGCUUAACGCUGAAUUUGGGUACACAAUGUGUAGGAUAGGCCGGAGGCUUUGAAGCGGGCACGCCAGUGUUCGUGGAGCCGACGUUGAAAUACGGCCCUUUGUGUAUUUGAGUUCUAACCCUGCGAAGGGGACACCGUUUGGUGGGUAGUUUGACUGGGGUGGUCGCCUCCAAAAGCGUAACGGAGGCUUCCCAAGGUACCCUCAGCACGAAUGGUAACCGUGCGCGGAGUGCAAUAGCAUAAGGGUGCUUGACUGUGAGACAUACAAGUCGACCAGGUACGAAAGUAGGGUAUAGUGAUCCGGUGGUUCUGCGUGGACUGGCCAUCGCUCAAAGGAUAAAAGGUACUCCGGGGAUAACAGGCUGAUCGCCGCCAAGAGCUCAUAUCGACGCGGCGGUUUGGCACCUCGAUGUCGGCUCGUCACAUCCUGGGGCUGGAGAAGGUCCCA